Non-coding RNA from Acanthosepion pharaonis, 113 nucleotides. The record is from the annotation of a GenBank genome assembly. NCBI's taxonomy places the organism in Eukaryota, Metazoa, Mollusca, Cephalopoda, Sepiida, Sepiidae.
UACGGCGAUGUCAUGUCGAAACUCCAGUUCACGUCCGAUCACCGAAGUUAAGUAACGUCGAGCCUGGUCAGUACCUAGAUGGUUGACCAAUUAGGAAUAUCAGGUGCUGUAAG